GAUGAACGCUGGCGGCGUGCCUAAUACAUGCAAGUCGAGCGAACAGAUGAGGAGCUUGCUCCUCUGACGUUAGCGGCGGACGGGUGAGUAACACGUGGAUAACCUACCUAUAAGACUGGGAUAACUUCGGGAAACCGGAGCUAAUACCGGAUAAUAUAUUGAACCGCAUGGUUCAAUAGUGAAAGACGGUUUUGCUGUCACUUAUAGAUGGAUCCGCGCCGCAUUAGCUAGUUGGUAAGGUAACGGCUUACCAAGGCAACGAUGCGUAGCCGACCUGAGAGGGUGAUCGGCCACACUGGAACUGAGACACGGUCCAGACUCCUACGGGAGGCAGCAGUAGGGAAUCUUCCGCAAUGGGCGAAAGCCUGACGGAGCAACGCCGCGUGAGUGAUGAAGGUCUUCGGAUCGUAAAGCUCUGUUAUUAGGGAAGAACAAAUGUGUAAGUAACUAUGCACGUCUUGACGGUACCUAAUCAGAAAGCCCCGGCUAACUACGUG
RNAcentral lists this ribosomal RNA (497 nucleotides) under uncultured bacterium. RNAcentral describes it as "partial 16S ribosomal RNA". It matches the Rfam family "Bacterial small subunit ribosomal RNA", at positions 28 to 507 of the family's 1533-position model. The record is from RNAcentral.